UACGAAGGGGGCGAGCGUUGUUCGGAUUUACUGGGCGUAAAGGGCGCGCAGGCGGCUCCACAAGUCAGGCGUGAAAGCCCCGGGCUCAACCUGGGAGGUGCGUUUGGGACUGUGGGGCUAGAGAUCGGGAGAGGAGAGUGGAAUUCCCAGUGUAGAGGUGAAAUUCGUAGAUAUUGGGAAGAACACCGGUGGCGAAGGCGGCUCGCUGGACCGAGACUGACGCUGAGGCGCGAAAGCGUGGGGAGCAAACAGG
Molecule: ribosomal RNA, 253 nt
Filed under: uncultured prokaryote
Description: partial 16S ribosomal RNA
Rfam family: Bacterial small subunit ribosomal RNA
Source: RNAcentral